Molecule: ribosomal RNA, 460 nt
Filed under: uncultured bacterium
Lineage: Bacteria
Description: partial 16S ribosomal RNA
Rfam family: Bacterial small subunit ribosomal RNA
Source: RNAcentral
CCUACGGGGGACUGCAGUGAGGAAUAUUGGUCAAUGGACGAGAGUCUGAACCAGCCAAGUAGCGUGAAGGAUGACUGCCCUAUGGGUUGUAAACUUCUUUUAUAUGGGAAUAAAAUGUUCCACGUGUGGGAUUUUGUAUGUACCAUGUGAAUAAGGAUCGGCUAACUCCGUGCCAGCAGCCGCGGUAAUACGGAGGAUCCGAGCGUUAUCCGGAUUUAUUGGGUUUAAAGGGAGCGUAGGUGGAUUGUUAAGUCAGUUGUGAAAGUUUGCGGCUCAACCGUAAAAUUGCAGUUGAAACUGGCAGUCUUGAGUACAGUAGAGGUGGGCGGAAUUCGUGGUGUAGCGGUGAAAUGCUUAGAUAUCACGAAGAACUCCGAUUGCGAAGGCAGUUCACUGGACUGCAACUGACACUGAGGCUCGAAAGUGUGGGUAUCAAACAGGAUUAGAUACCCUUGUAGUC